Molecule: ribosomal RNA, 429 nt
Filed under: Chloroflexota bacterium
Lineage: Bacteria; Bacillati; Chloroflexota
Description: Chloroflexi bacterium partial 16S ribosomal RNA
Rfam family: Bacterial small subunit ribosomal RNA
Source: RNAcentral
UAGGGAAUCUUCGGCAAUGGACGAAAGUCUGACCGAGCAACGCCGCGGGAGGGAAGAAGGUUUGCGGAUCGGAAAACUCUGUUGUUAGAGAAGAACAAGGACGAUAGUAACUGAACGUCCCCUGACGGUAUAUAACAAGAAAGCCACGGCUAACUACGUGCCAGCAGCAGCGGUAAUACGUAGGAGGCAAGCGUUGUCCGGAUUUAUUGGGCGUAAAGCGAGCGCAGGCGGUCUGUCAAGUCGGAUGUGAAAUCCCCGGGCUCAACCUGGGAACUGCAUUCGAAACUGGCAGGCUAGAGUCUUGUAGAGGGGGGUAGAAUUCCAGGUGUAGCGGUGAAAUGCGUAGAGAUCUAGAGGAAUACCGGUGGCGAAGGCGGCCCCCUGGACAAAGACUGACGCUCAGGUGCGAAAGCGUGGGGAGCAAGCAGG